GAUGAACGCUGGCGGCGUGCCUAAUACAUGCCAGUCGAGCGAACAGACGAGGAGCUUGCUCCUCUGACGUUAGCGGCGGACGGGUGAGUAACACGUGGAUAACCUACCUAUAAGACUGGGAUAACUUCGGGAAACCGGAGCUAAUACCGGAUAAUAUAUUGAACCGCAUGGUUCAAUAGUGAAAGACGGUUUUGCUGUCACUUAUAGAUGGAUCCGCGCCGCAUUAGCUAGUUGGUAAGGUAACGGCUUACCAAGGCAACGAUGCGUAGCCGACCUGAGAGGGUGAUCGACCACACUGGAACUGAGACACGGUCCAGACUCCUACGGGAGGCAGCAGUAGGGAAUCUUCCGCAAUGGGCGAAAGCCUGACGGAGCAACGCCGCGUGAGUGAUGAAGGUCUUCGGAUCGUAAAACUCUGUUAUUAGGGAAGAACAAAUGUGUAAGUAACUAUGCACGUCUUGACGGUACCUAAUCAGAAAGCCACGGCUAACUACGUG
Molecule: ribosomal RNA, 497 nt
Filed under: uncultured bacterium
Lineage: Bacteria
Description: partial 16S ribosomal RNA
Rfam family: Bacterial small subunit ribosomal RNA
Source: RNAcentral